Molecule: long non-coding RNA, 351 nt
Organism: Vigna radiata var. radiata (mung bean)
Lineage: Eukaryota; Viridiplantae; Streptophyta; Magnoliopsida; Fabales; Fabaceae
Exons: 2
Source: RefSeq, a predicted model, not a curated record
CCAAGAUUGCUGACUCUGAUGGCCUCGAGUGGUUCUCUAUCAUCACUACCCCCAAUCCUGUAUUUACUCACCUGGCUGGAAGUAUUGGGGCAUGGAAGGCUCUUUCACCAUCGGUUCUGCAGGCAGCUUUCAAUGUGGAUGAAGAACUUGAGAAACUCUUUCGUUCAAAGAGGAAUGCAGAUGCCAUUUUCUUCCCUCCUCCAAAUUGAAGUGGCACAAAACUAGCAUUAUGUUAUAUUUAUAUGGUUGAACCUGUUUGAAUUAGUUUUAGCUUUUGAAUGGACUAGCAUUAUGUUAUACAUAUUUUGUUCGAUUUACCUUUAUUGAAUAACGUUUUACCUUUCUUUUUUA